This 322-nucleotide ribosomal RNA is filed under the name uncultured eukaryote. RNAcentral's name for it is "partial 18S ribosomal RNA". It matches the Rfam family "Eukaryotic small subunit ribosomal RNA", at positions 1470 to 1796 of the family's 1831-position model. The record is from RNAcentral.
CCCUUAGAUGUUCUGGGCCGCACGCGUGCUACACUGAGUAAUUCAAUGGGUAAGGGAACGCUAGAGCAUUACCUAAUCUUGAAACUUGCUCGUGAUGGGGAUCGACGGUUGCAAUUUUCCGUCGUGAACGAGGAAUACCUUGUAGGCGCAUGUCAUCAUCAUGCGCCGAAUACGUCCCUGCCCUUUGUACACACCGCCCGUCGCUCCUACCGAUUGAGUGAUCCGGUGAGGCUCUGGGACCUGGACGGAAAGAGCGUUUCGCUUGUUCUGUUUGGGAAACUUGGUCGAACCUUAUCAUUUAGAGGAAGGAGAAGUCGUAACA